Long non-coding RNA from Cyprinus carpio carpio, 869 nucleotides. NCBI's taxonomy places the organism in Eukaryota, Metazoa, Chordata, Actinopteri, Cypriniformes, Cyprinidae. The record is from Ensembl.
ACAGGCCCCUCCCACGACAGUUUGAUUGACAGUAGCGUUUCAGCACAGACUGGACUGGCGUUUUACCUUAGACCCACCCUGAGUGAGCUGUCAUCAGUCCACCAUUGUUUGACCGCCGGAGCAGAUGUAGACAAGAAUGUCUUCUAAGCGAUUGAGGUGUUCUACUGUUGGAUGUAAUAAUGAACAUAGCAGUCGUCAUUUUCUCCUGACAUUUGAGCUGCUGAAGACACAGUGGAUUACAUUUUGUGCCCCCGAUCUACCUAAAGACAUCUAUCUUUGCGUGAAUCAAUCGUGAUCCUGCUUCACCAACAGAAAAAGCAGCCCAAAUGGCUCUGAUGGCUCUUGAAUGCACCUUUCCUAAAGCUCCAGAAAACACCUGAUUCUGUUGAAGAAAACUGUCAAAGGUUUUGGAUUGGGAAAAGCAGUUACCAGUGUGCAUGAGGUGAUUUCUCAGUAACAGAAAAAAAAAAUUGCCUUCACAAAAAAGAAGACAGAGAGAGAAAGAGCGAAGGGAGGCUGGUAAAGACAGUUCAACAUUGCAAACUUGAAUACAAAGCUCCAGCGAGCCAGCAGGAAUAUCUGGCAACACUGGCAGAACUUAAAGUGAUAGUAAUCAAAAGAGCCCACAGACAUGUUAUUGCUGACAGGAUACCACAUUCGAGUAAACAGAGUUCCUCACUCUCUGACCAGGAUACAGGAGAGGAAGACCUGGGGCCUGAUGUAUAAACGUUGCGUACGCACAAAAUGGGCAUAGAAAUAUGCAUACGCAUUUUUCCACGCACAUAUCGGGAUUCAUAAAAAAUAAACUUGGCGUAAAUAAGUGCGCACCGUAAGGAUGCUCUUGACCGUGCGUACGCACUUCUUUUUCC